GCUCAUGGUUUGCAUAUUCGGCCGUCUGACUAUGGUUGUCUUUCAGCAUAUUCUGAUGCAGACUGGGCUGGCAAUCCGGAUGACAGGCGAUCCACGGGGGGUUAUGCUGUCUUCUUUGGCUCUAACCUGAUUGCCUGGAGUGCUCGGAAACAGGCUACUGUCUCGCGUAGCAGUACUGAGGCUGAGUAUAAGGCUGUGGCCAAUGCCACAUCAGAGAUCAUCUGGGUACAAUCCUUGCUUCAGGAGUUAAGUAUACCCCAAUCACAGCCUCCUGUUCUUUGGUGUGAUAACAUCGGUGCU
This 300-nucleotide ribosomal RNA is filed under the name Triticum aestivum (bread wheat). Its description in RNAcentral is "partial small subunit ribosomal RNA". Lineage: Eukaryota; Viridiplantae; Streptophyta; Magnoliopsida; Poales; Poaceae. The record is from RNAcentral.